This 450-nucleotide ribosomal RNA is filed under the name uncultured bacterium. Its description in RNAcentral is "partial 16S ribosomal RNA". It matches the Rfam family "Bacterial small subunit ribosomal RNA", at positions 354 to 796 of the family's 1533-position model. The record is from RNAcentral.
GUGGGGAAUUUUGGACAAUGGGCGCAAGCCUGAUCCAGCAAUGCCGCGUGCAGGAAGAAGGCCUUCGGGUUGUAAACUGCUUUUGUACGGAACGAAAAGGCUCUGGUUAAUACCUGGGGCUCAUGACGGUACCGUAAGAAUAAGCACCGGCUAACUACGUGUCAGCAGCCGCGGUAAUACGUAGGGUGCGAGCGUUAAUCGGAAUUACUGGGCGUACAGCGUGCGCAGGCGGUUUUGUAAGACAGACGUGAAAUCCCCGGGCUCAACCUGGGAAUGGCGUUUGUGACUGCAAAGCUGGAGUGUGGCAGAGGGGGAUGGAAUUCCGCGUGUAGCAGUGAAAUGCGUAGAUAUGCGGAGGAACACCGAUGGCGAAGGCAAUCCCCUGGGCCUGCACUGACGCUCAUGCACGAAAGCGUGGGGAGCAAACAGGAUUAGAUACCCCAGUAGUCC